RNAcentral lists this long non-coding RNA (339 nucleotides) under Manihot esculenta (cassava). RNAcentral describes it as "long non-coding RNA (MESC_LNC012718)". Lineage: Eukaryota; Viridiplantae; Streptophyta; Magnoliopsida; Malpighiales; Euphorbiaceae. The record is from RNAcentral.
GCAAAUAAUGGACUUUUUAGCAUGUUUCACGCAUCAUGAAUGCCAUGAGAUGUACUAGGUUGUUUGCAUUAGAAUUCACGAAUAUGUUGCAUUGCAUACUUUAUUGUUGAUUGUCGUGGAUGAACGUUGAAUGAUCCAAAACCCUCGAUCUAUGAUAUGACGAUGUGAUAUGUACAGUACGGAAUGUAAGACCAGUGGGACCCAUUCUACGUUCGCUGGCACCAUGUAAGGGAAAGACCAGGACCCAUUCUAUGUUCUGGCACAGUUGGACUGUUAUGUUAUGCUAUGUUAUGUAAGAGAAAGACCAGGACCCAUUCUACGUUCUGGCACAGUUGGACU